UACGAAGGGGGCUAGCGUUGUUCGGAAUCACUGGGCGUAAAGGGCGCGUAGGCGGCCGAUCAAGUCGGGGGUGAAAGCCUGUGGCUUAACCACAGAAUGGCCUUCGAUACUGUUUGGCUUGAGACCGGAAGAGGUUAGUGGAACUGCGAGUGUAGAGGUGAAAUUCGUAGAUAUUCGCAAGAACACCAGUGGCGAAGGCGGCUGACUGGUCCGGUUCUGACGCUGAGGCGCGAAAGCGUGGGGAUCGAACAGG
Molecule: ribosomal RNA, 253 nt
Filed under: uncultured bacterium
Lineage: Bacteria
Description: partial 16S ribosomal RNA
Rfam family: Bacterial small subunit ribosomal RNA
Source: RNAcentral